UUAAAAUAAAAAUGAAUGCUAAAUCUUAAAAGUUUUCUAACCUUAGACUUCAGGUUUACGUGAAAAUCUCGUUUUUUAUUCAUACAAAUGCACAUAAUCAAAAUCAAUAUUUUUACAAAUUUAGCAUGAUUUAAAAAACAAGGGAAAUUAACAGUCUUAUUCAACACAUGCAUAAACAAAAGUAAUAAAAAACAAGAAAAACAAGAAAAA
Molecule: long non-coding RNA, 210 nt
Filed under: Lathyrus oleraceus (garden pea)
Lineage: Eukaryota; Viridiplantae; Streptophyta; Magnoliopsida; Fabales; Fabaceae
Description: Pisum sativum (pea) long non-coding RNA (PSAT_LNC025473)
Source: RNAcentral